RNAcentral lists this ribosomal RNA (480 nucleotides) under uncultured bacterium. RNAcentral describes it as "bacterial SSU rRNA". It matches the Rfam family "Bacterial small subunit ribosomal RNA", at positions 28 to 526 of the family's 1533-position model. The record is from RNAcentral.
GAUGAACGCUGGCGGCGUGCCUAACACAUGCAAGUCGAACGUGAGAGCUUAGCAAUAGGCUUGAAAGUGGCGAACGGGUGAGUAACACGUAGGUGACCUGCCGCGCAGAGGGGGAUAACCACUGGAAACGGUGGCUAAUACCGCAUGGUACCGGCUAGAUGGGAAUCUAACUGGUUAAAACUAUGGUGCUGCGCGAGGGGCCUGCGUCCGAUUAGUUAGUUGGCGGGGUAACGGCCCACCAAGACGAUGAUCGGUAGCUAGUCUGAGAGGAUGAUUAGCCACACGGGAACUGAGACACGGUCCCGACUCCUACGGGGGGCAGCAGUGAGGAAUAUUGCACAAUGGACGCAAGUCUGAUGCAGCAACGCCGCGUGGAGGAUGACGGUCUUUGGAUUGUAAACUCCUUUUCUCAGGGAAGAGAAUGGACGGUACCUGAGGAAUAAGUCACGGCUAACUACGUGCCAGCAGCCGCAGUAAAAC